AGGGUAAUAGUUAAACAUAACAUUUGGGUUGCAUUCAAAAAGUAUCUUAUUAGAUUUACCUUA
This 63-nucleotide transfer RNA is filed under the name Lentula callani. RNAcentral's name for it is "tRNA-Ala". Lineage: Eukaryota; Metazoa; Arthropoda; Insecta; Orthoptera; Lentulidae. The record is from RNAcentral.